This 101-nucleotide small RNA is filed under the name Pseudomonas fluorescens. RNAcentral's name for it is "Guanidine-I sequence". It matches the Rfam family "Guanidine-I riboswitch aptamer". Rfam says of the family: This family represents a conserved RNA structure found upstream of the ykkC and yxkD genes in Bacillus subtilis and related genes in other bacteria. RNAcentral also lists the same sequence under 2 other names. Lineage: Bacteria; Pseudomonadati; Pseudomonadota; Gammaproteobacteria; Pseudomonadales; Pseudomonadaceae. The record is from RNAcentral.
GCAAUGGCUGACUAGGGUUCCGGCUCGCAUCUGCGAGUGGCUGGUCCGAGAGUUGGCGACCUCCAGUUGAGGUUACACGGCGGGACAAAAGCCCGGGAGAC